Molecule: ribosomal RNA, 754 nt
Filed under: uncultured bacterium
Lineage: Bacteria
Description: bacterial SSU rRNA
Rfam family: Bacterial small subunit ribosomal RNA
Source: RNAcentral
AUUGAACGCUGGCGGCAGGCCUAACACAUGCAAGUCGAGCGGUAGCACAAGAGAGCUUGCUCUCUGGGUGACGAGCGGCGGACGGGUGAGUAAUGUCUGGGAAACUGCCUGAUGGAGGGGGAUAACUACUGGAAACGGUAGCUAAUACCGCAUAACGUCUUCGGACCAAAGUGGGGGACCUUCGGGCCUCACGCCAUCAGAUGUGCCCAGAUGGGAUUAGCUAGUAGGUGGGGUAAUGGCUCACCUAGGCGACGAUCCCUAGCUGGUCUGAGAGGAUGACCAGCCACACUGGAACUGAGACACGGUCCAGACUCCUACGGGAGGCAGCAGUGGGGGAUAUUGCACAAUGGGCACAAGCCUGAUGCAGCCAUGCCGCGUGUGUGAAGAAGGCCUUCGGGUUGUAAAGCACUUUCAGCGAGGAGGAAGGGUGGUGUGUUAAUAGCACAUCACAUUGACGUUACUCGCAGAAGAAGCACCGGCUAACUCCGUGCCAGCAGCCGCGGUAAUACGGAGGGUGCAAGCGUUAAUCGGAAUUACUGGGCGUAAAGCGCACGCAGGCGGUUUGUUAAGUCAGAUGUGAAAUCCCCGCGCUUAACGUGGGAACUGCAUUUGACACUGGCAAGCUAGAGUCUUGUAGAGGGGGGUAGAAUUCCAGGUGUAGCGGUGAAAUGCGUAGAGAUCUGGAGGAUACCGGCGGCGAAGGCGGCCCCCUGUACAAAGACUGACGCUCAGUGCGAAAGCGUGGGGAGCAAAC